UACGAAGGGGGCUAGCGUUGUUCGGAAUUACUGGGCGUAAAGCGCACGUAGGCGGCCAUUUAAGUCAGGGGUGAAAUCCCAGAGCUCAACUCUGGAACUGCCUUUGAUACUGGGUGUCUAGAGUAUGGAAGAGGUGAGUGGAAUUCCGAGUGUAGAGGUGAAAUUCGUAGAUAUUCGGAGGAACACCAGUGGCGAAGGCGGCUCACUGGUCCAUUACUGACGCUGAGGUGCGAAAGCGUGGGAAGCAAACAGG
Molecule: ribosomal RNA, 253 nt
Filed under: uncultured bacterium
Lineage: Bacteria
Description: partial 16S ribosomal RNA
Rfam family: Bacterial small subunit ribosomal RNA
Source: RNAcentral